This 526-nucleotide ribosomal RNA is filed under the name uncultured bacterium. RNAcentral's name for it is "bacterial SSU rRNA". It matches the Rfam family "Bacterial small subunit ribosomal RNA", at positions 28 to 600 of the family's 1533-position model. The record is from RNAcentral.
AACGAACGCUGGCGGCAGGCCUAACACAUGCAAGUCGAGCGCUGUAGCAAUACAGAGCGGCGCACGGGUGAGUAACACGUGGGAACGUGCCCUUUGGUUCGGAACAACCCAGGGAAACUUGGGCUAAUACCGGAUGAGCCCUAACGGGGAAAGAUUUAUCGCCGAAGGAGCGGCCCGCGUCGGAUUAGCUAGUUGGUGGGGUAAAAGCCUACCAAGGCAACGAUCCGUAGCUGGUUUGAGAGAACGACCAGCCACACUGGGACUGAGACACGGCCCAGACUCCUACGGGAGGCAGCAGUGGGGAAUCUUGGACAAUGGGGGAAACCCUGAUCCAGCCAUGCCGCGUGAGUGAUGAAGGCCCUAGGGUUGUAAAACUCUUUCGGCGGGGACGAUAAUGACGGUACCCGCAGAAGAAGCUCCGGCUAACUUCGUGCCAGCAGCCGCGGUAAUACGAAGGGGGCUAGCGUUGUUCGGAAUUACUGGGCGUAAAGCGCGCGCAGGCGGUUCUUCAAGUCAGAGGUGAAAG